AGAGUUUGAUCCUGGCUCAGGAUGAACGCUGGCGGCGUGCUUAACACAUGCAAGUCGAACGGGGGCGUGAUGUGCGAGAGGGAUAGUUUACUAGACUUCAAACUUUUCACGCCCUAGUGGCGGACGGGUGAGUAACGCGUGGGUAACCUGCCAUAUACAGGGGGAUAACACUUAGAAAUAGGUGCUAAUACCGCAUAAGCGCACAGGGGCGCAUGCCCCGGUGUGAAAAACUCCGGUGGUAUAUGAUGGACCCGCGUCUGAUUAGCCAGUUGGCAGGGUAACGGCCUACCAAAGCGACGAUCAGUAGCCGGCCUGAGAGGGCGGACGGCCACAUUGGGACUGAGACACGGCCCAAACUCCUACGGGAGGCAGCAGUGGGGGAUAUUGCACAAUGGGGGAAACCCUGAUGCAGCGACGCCGCGUGAGUGAAGAAGUAUUUCGGUAUGUAAAGCUCUAUCAGCAGGGAAGAAAAUGACAGUACCUGACCAAGAAGCCCCGGCUAACUACGUGCCAGCAGCCGCGGUAAUACGUAGGGGGCAAGCCUUAUCCGGAU
RNAcentral lists this ribosomal RNA (553 nucleotides) under uncultured bacterium. Its description in RNAcentral is "bacterial SSU rRNA". It matches the Rfam family "Bacterial small subunit ribosomal RNA", at positions 8 to 550 of the family's 1533-position model. The record is from RNAcentral.